RNAcentral lists this ribosomal RNA (253 nucleotides) under uncultured bacterium. RNAcentral's name for it is "partial 16S ribosomal RNA". It matches the Rfam family "Bacterial small subunit ribosomal RNA", at positions 524 to 776 of the family's 1533-position model. The record is from RNAcentral.
UACGAGCGUCACAAGUGUUACUUCUCUUGACUGGGCGUAAAAAGUGCGUAGGUUGCAUAAUCAAUUCGAAAUGUCAAAAAAUGUAGUCAUAUUUUUUAUUUUGAAUAUUGUUAUGCUUGAGUAAAAUUAAAGGUAGUGGAACUCCUUGUAUUAGAGUUGAAAUGCGCGUUACACUGGGAAGAAGCACCGAAGGCGAAAGCUGCUACCUAUUUUUUUCUGACGCUGAGGCACGAAGGUAUGGGUAUCAAACGGG